Molecule: non-coding RNA, 110 nt
Organism: Desulfobacter postgatei 2ac9
Lineage: Bacteria; Pseudomonadati; Thermodesulfobacteriota; Desulfobacteria; Desulfobacterales; Desulfobacteraceae
Source: Rfam
CUGAGGGUCGGGCAACCGCCUCUGACCGCAUGGGAGAAGUCAGCAGACGGCAUAGUAAUCGGUGGAAACGAGCUUCACAAAAGUGGAGAGGCCUCACCCCGAUGAAGGCC